GGCGSGGCCUACCUGCAAGUCGAGCGAUGAAGCUUCUUCGGAAGUGGAUUAGCGGCGGACGGGUGAGUAACACGUGGGUAACCUGCCCUAAAGAGUGGGAUAGCCCUCCGAAAGGAGGAAUAAUACCACAUAACAUUAAGAUAUCGCAUGGUAUUUUAAUCAAAGAAGUAAUUCGCUUUAGGAUGGACCCGCGGCGCAUUAGCUAGUUGGUAGAGUAACAGCCUACCAAGGCAACGAUGCGUAGCCGACCUGAGAGGGUGAUCGGCCACAUUGGGACUGAGAUACGGCCCAGACUCCUACGGGAGGCAGCAGUGGGGAAUAUUGCGCAAUGGGGGAAACCCUGACGCAGCAACGCCGCGUGAGUGAUGAAGGUCUUCGGAUUGUAAAGCUCUGUCUUUUGGGACGAUAAUGACGGUACCAAAAGAGGAAGCCACGGCUAACUACGUGCCAGCAGCCGCGGUAAUACGUAGGUGGCAAGCGUUGUCCGGAUUUAUUGGGCGUAAAGGGUGCGUAGGCG
Molecule: ribosomal RNA, 517 nt
Filed under: uncultured bacterium
Lineage: Bacteria
Description: bacterial SSU rRNA
Rfam family: Bacterial small subunit ribosomal RNA
Source: RNAcentral